UGGGGGUGGGGCCGGUCAGGUGGUUGGGUGUAGGAGGGCAUGAUGAGAUGAUGCAUGCAUGCACGGGAGGGGUGAGCGCGCGUCGGCGCCGAUUGAAAUAAGGACCGCCGCCGUAGCCGCCGCCCUAGGUAGACCAUGGCGUGGCGCAUGAGGAAGAGGAUCACGGCACGCACGGGCUCUCCUUGCCCUCUCACUAGGCCUCGGCGAGUAGCUGACUGACGAACAGCCGGCCCGGGAUAGCGGUACCCUCUAGCGGAGGCGCGCGGAGGCUCGAUCGCUCCUCAACUAGGCUCCAAGCACCGAGGGCAGCGAGGCGGGGCAGGGGCAGCGGCCGGCCAAGGAACCAACCACGCAUACGCCGCCUCCCAGACUCCUAACGGCUCGCUCGACCAACACCGGUACCUCGUAGGCUACGUUUCCUCGCUGCUCCCGCCGGACGCCCCGUCGUCGUACGCACGGCUGUACCUGCUCGACCUAGAGUACCUCCUCAAGGACGACCGCAGCGGGCCCGGGCUGAAGGGGCUCAAGGACGUGGGGCCGCCGCGGAGCGGCUCGGGGAAGAGGGGCGACAAGCUGGAGCCGUCGUGGUAGUGGUGGCGGGGCCGGCGGCCUCCGCCGCUGCUGCUGCCGCUCCUGCCCCCGCUCCUCAGCGCGGCGCGCACCGACUAGGUCGGCGUCCUCCGCGGCCGGAGCCACUUCCUCGCCGACCCCGCGCGCGACGUCCCGUAGCGCAGCGCCAGCGCGCCGCGCCGCCCGCUCGACGACCACGUCCACACCCACGGGUGCACGUAGCCGCUGGCGGUCCACGAGUGGUGGACGCCGGUCGGGAAGACCGAGCUGGCGGCGUCGCUGGCGGAGCUCUCGAUGGCGUGGCACAGGCAGUUCAUGGUCAAGAGGCGGCUGCUCUGGAGGACGCGACUCGACCCCGAGGGGCCGGCCCAGAAGCAGCCGGCGCAGGGGCUCACCUGCGGGCUGCACGCGGAGAAGUGGCUGUUGCUCAUGGGCGCGCAGGCGAUGCGCGUCGUGAAGCUGUAGGCGCCGUCGCAGCGGUACGGCCAGAAGCUCGCGGCGUGGCCGCGCACGGAGCCGCAGCAGCUCGAGCAGUACUGGUGGGUCUUCUAGUUGAUGUUGCGGCUCUAGCUGUUGUAGACGUUGCGAGAGUUCCUCCAACUAGAGUCUCCAAGACUACAAAGCUCGCUAGGAGCGCGUGUCCGGUUUUCCCGCUCGGCGGUGAGGCUGCUUUUUAUGUUCAUGACACAGAGGUGGCACCUGCUCCGCACAAUACAGGCGCUACGGCGAUACUGACCGAAAGUGGUCCGAACGAGACUCGUAGUAGACAAGUCCCCGCUCCCACAACAGCCGUGCCGCGAGCCCUGUUUGCUCGGCACAAAGACGGGCCUGUAUUGACGGAUGUCGUUCCAGGUUAUGGGAGAGAGCGUAAUACGUUUUGAAAAGCCGAAUUCCCGGCGCCACCGUUAAGCCGACGCUUCGCAGUUCUGGCCCUCAUACCUAGAAUAGAACCUUAAAAAGAACGGUUCGUUGACGUAUUUAUCACUUCUCGUUCCCUCGUACGAGUUAAGAGACAGGUUAUGGUAUGUUGUUCGGAGGACGUGUGACGCUCAACAGCCGCACUUUCUUGACCGCUUACUGCCUAGCGGACUUAGAUCGAGCGGCUGGGGGGGUCUUCAAACACUGUUCGGACGACUUUAGAACCUACUCGAGGUAUGAUCACCGUAGUUAUAAGGACGUUCCUGUUCUAGUCACCUACGAAGACUCCUCCAUAGAAGUACCUAACGUUCGGAACACCUACAAGUCUUAUCACCCCGCGUCCCUCUUUGUCUAACACCGGACGGUAAACCUAAUUCCUUUGUUCUCCUACUUCCCAAAUCACAUUGUCGACCGACCGGUUGAAGUGGCCACGAUCAUGGACUUCUAUUUUCAAAGAAAGGUCCCAAAUGUUUCGUACUUCUUAUACUCCAGUUCCCAAGUGGAAAAAGGUCACUAGCUUCGGAGAGUUUGAGCCUGUUUCAUUAUCUCUUCGCCGCUUGGUUUUAGCUCUUUUGACACUCGGACGUUCUUGAAUCCUUCGUAAAACGACCAUCAAACUUUCUUCGACGUUUCUUAAAUCCUCACACGGGAUGAUGUAACUUCUCUUAUACGUCUGUAGUACCUUAACUAGCAACCGGUAGUUCCUUCUAGUUCUUUCAACCCGUGAGAGAGUUCUUUAACGUUUACCAGUAACUAAGUCAUGUACCUCGACUUCCUUGUCAAGCCGACUCAAGCGAGAUACUUUUAAAGUGGUUCUGAUGUACCAGUCUUUCCCUCAACGUCCCUCUAGACUCAAUAGGUCGUAGUCUCGUUUUCCAAGUCGACCUCGGAAGUCAAGGACUAGCUGUCACGCUCUCGUCUAAGUCAGGCGUAUGGAGGCCGAGUUUAAGGGAGAGGAGGUGGAUGUCGGUCUCGAGUUUAAGAUCGGAACCGACAAGGUCGCUCGGUUUCGGAGUUGUUGUCGUUUCGUCGCGAGGAGUCGAACGCCACUUCGUCCUUAAAAAGUACCUCCUCUUAGUCUCGAGCUGUGUCUACUUUCGACGCUCGGUACUGCUUGACGCCAAUAAAUGACUUCUCUUUGGGCAGUGGGAAACAUCCAGAGUCUCAGUGUACGAUAAGUCACUUGUGUUUGGUUACCGUUUGUACAGUCCGUACGUUCUUCGAUUCGGACUAAGAGAGUUCUAUUUCCGGUACAUACCGCUCCUUUCUACGUAUAAGGCCGAAGUCGGCUCAACCCCGAAACUUUUCGAUUUCCUUCUUUAGCGUUUCGCCAAGCCGUAAAGAGUCCUUCAAAUACUGGAGUUCAUGAACCUACUACUCAGCCUCACCCAAGAAAACUGUACACUACGUCUGGAAGACCUCACAUAGCUACAUAUGUUCAGUAGUUCACGAUUUUGUCAGUCCUAGAGACACUUAGGACGUCAAGUUGGCUAUGAGGCACCAAGGAAGCCAAUUGGGCUACAUAUGUUACGAAGAAGUUGCAAGUUUUUGUUGGUAGGGUGGAAAGGUUCAUCAGUCACACGCAACUAUAGCGGAGCCAAAAGCCAGUACCACUAUCCAUGUCCGGUGUAAACAUUUAUAAACCUCAGACACCAGUUCUACGAACCACUCAAUAGACAGUCGGACCAGACACUAUUGACUUAUACUGUGAAACAUGAACAUCUGAUCCAGUAUAAGCCGGUAUCCCUUUGAGCAAAUGGUGUCAAUGGUUUGAUCACAUGUCUUAUCCCUUCUUAUCCUUAAACAGCUUUACUUCGAAGCGUAAUCCAGAUCUUGAGUACAAGUCCAAUGGACCGUUUACAUUCAAGAAAGACCCGAACAAACUUGGCAGAACGUUAAGACUUCGUGGAAGUUCCAAAGUUUGUAAGCUUUCGAACGAACUUCCGUACGCGGCACCUUAACUCUCUUAAUACAGAGCACGGAAGUGCCCAGUCAAACUCGCGGUGCUUCUACGUAGGAAAUGCCGCGACUUUACGGAAGAGAGAACAUACUCAUACUAUACUCGUCAGCCUAACAAAUCGACUGUCAUUCUUACGUAAGUAGCUAGUUCGAGUAGAGAGUACAGCUUUGACGUUAGGACGAACAAGGUCUAGUCACUUCCGAAAAAGCGUCGCAACCAGUACACAUUCCGUCCUCGGCAGAUCUGAGGAUCUGUGUCGAAGUCCGGCAGUUACCACGUAUUUCUACAAAAGGAAAAGAGUAUAAAAAAAAGAAACUCUUGUUACCUUACGAUCUCAAAAACCUCCAUUUUAAUGAUCGUAGUUUAAAUGUCGACAUGUAAACGAAGUCUUUAGUCUUGGACAUACGUUGGCAUACACUAACGAAAUAUCUGACUACAAAGAAA
Molecule: ribosomal RNA, 3892 nt
Filed under: Triticum aestivum (bread wheat)
Lineage: Eukaryota; Viridiplantae; Streptophyta; Magnoliopsida; Poales; Poaceae
Description: partial small subunit ribosomal RNA
Source: RNAcentral